UACGAAGGGGGCUAGCGUUGCUCGGAAUUGACUGGGCGUAAAGCGCACGUAGGCGGCUUUCUAAGUCGGGGGUGAAAUCCUGGAGCUCAACUCCAGAACUGCCUUCGAUACUGGAGCUUGAGUCCGGGAGAGGUGAGUGGAACUGCGAGUGUAGAGGUGAAAUUCGUAGAUAUUCGCAAGAACACCAGUGGCGAAGGCGGCUCACUGGCCCGGUACUGACGCUGAGGUGCGAAAGCGUGGGGAGCAAACAGGG
This 253-nucleotide ribosomal RNA is filed under the name uncultured bacterium. RNAcentral's name for it is "partial 16S ribosomal RNA". It matches the Rfam family "Bacterial small subunit ribosomal RNA", at positions 524 to 777 of the family's 1533-position model. The record is from RNAcentral.